UGCCUGAUAGACGGUGCAAUAGGACGGC
This 28-nucleotide non-coding RNA is filed under the name Bombyx mori (domestic silkworm). The record is from RNAcentral. Lineage: Eukaryota; Metazoa; Arthropoda; Insecta; Lepidoptera; Bombycidae.